GACAAUACUUUAACCUCAGUGUAGCACUGUGUUCUGGACAAUAACAACCACCUGGGAAUUGCUGGAGGCUGUUCAGAUAUAAUGAAGGGGAUGUUUGGCAUGUCUGUCAGUCUGUUGCUGCUGUGUGUCUUGUGGGGUGACAGUCAGCCUGUACACACUGCUGCUCACACUGUCAGAGAGAUGUUAGAGAUCCUGAGAGCGAUGACUCCAGUAAAUGAGCAGCAGGGACAGGACACAGAGCCUGAGGUUCUGUGGCCUAAUACUGAGGAUCUGGAGAAGAGAGACCUGCCACGUCUAGGAGUAGCAAUUCAUAGAGCCUUACCCUCAAGAGUCCACAGCAGUAAGUCCGUAGAUGCAUCUAGAUACCGAUUGUUAUCUCCAGCUAAGUGGAUGUCCAGUCUCCAAGGUUGAAGAAUAGUCACUUUUUGAUUCAUCAGUCUCAAAAGAGCUUGAACCAAUCAAUCCAAAGCUACCAGGUUUACACUCAAAUCUCAUCCGCAUGCUCUCUCUAUGAAGAACUCGUUGUAAAACAUGGAAUAA
Sinocyclocheilus grahami is the source of this 540-nucleotide long non-coding RNA. RefSeq lists it as uncharacterized. The transcript has 4 exons. Lineage: Eukaryota; Metazoa; Chordata; Actinopteri; Cypriniformes; Cyprinidae. The record is from RefSeq and is a predicted model, not a curated record.